Olea europaea var. sylvestris is the source of this 2525-nucleotide long non-coding RNA. RefSeq lists it as uncharacterized. Lineage: Eukaryota; Viridiplantae; Streptophyta; Magnoliopsida; Lamiales; Oleaceae. The transcript is spliced from 2 exons. The record is from RefSeq and is a predicted model, not a curated record.
CCCAUGUAAUUAUGGUUUCCACUAUUGUCGUCUUUUUCCUCAAUACCUUUGCCUGCAAAUUCUUUUUCCUCAAAAUUAAUUCCCUUCCUUGCCGUUUUCCACUCUUCAAAUUGCCUCCAAAAAUUUUCCCCCAAAAAUAUUCAUUAACUCUGUUUGCCGCUUCUUAAUUGGUCCAAACCUAAUUCAAAAUUUUCAAUUGAAGCAUCAUCUCGUCAACAAAUUAUGGCUUAAUCGACAGGUUUCAGUGUUAUUCUUCAAGCAGUCUUCUAGGUAUGCCCAUCAAUCCUAUCUAUUUUUUGGUUUAAACAGGUGAAUUUACUUCAUUCUAUAUGCGCACAUCUCGAUUGUUAGGUAUACUCAUUCUUGACCACUUUUAAAUGAGAUUGGUAUUUGGUUCGUGUGCAAGGGGAAUAGAGUAGCCCAUCAACUUGCUUCUUUCGUGUGCAAGGGGUAUAGAAAUAUCAUUUAGGUCUUAGUCUCGCAUUGUUUGCUAAUAUCUGAUGUUGCAGAUGCACAAACAUUUAUUUGUCUUUGAAAGAAAAGUGAUUAUACCUCUUGAUAUAUGUUGCUACAGAAUCAUAGAAGUUAUGUGGUUAAGUGAAAAGAAGAUUAGCUAAUUGUCGUUUGAGUUUGUCUACCUAAUGAGAUUUGGUUUUGAGAAGUAGCAAAACAAUAGGCUAAAAAGCUUUUUGUGUAGGAAGCCUCAGUUAGAGACAAGUAUUAAUAUGGGGAUUGAUCUAAUUUAUUUAAGGUUUUGGGAGGUCGAUGAGGAGAUGUUCAUUAACCGUUGCACAUGUUGAAAAUUUGCUUGGUAAGGUCUGUAGGAGAAAAUUGGUUGGACUUAUAUCUGAGACGUGGGAACUAAAGUAAAUUGGUUUGAAGGUAUCUUGGUGAAUUUAGCUAAACUUGAAAAAGAAUGAUGAUGGAAGUUAAAGAAAUUUAGGGACCAUUUCCAGGGUUGGAAUUCAUCACAUCAUCUUAAUAACUCUUAUUGCUCUGCGAAGAAAUACGAUUUUGUAAUCUUCCUUGUUCUGUGAAGACAUCAUGUCUAUUUAUGAGCUCCGGUGACAUGACAUCCUAAAGCAACUUUAGCAUAUAUACCCAAGUAAUACAAACAUUUUUACUUUUAAUUCAACUUGUAGAUAUCAACAUGACUUGUAAACUUAAUAAGACCUAAAUUAAGUAUUUUUAAUUACAAUUGUGAAUUUUAUCAUUGUGCCAAUAUGAUUUCUCCUUUUUCUUUUGGGAGAAAAUAAAAUAUGAAUUAUGCUUCUAUUGCAGUUGUUGCUAAGCUUUUUGAGCUAGAUUCAUUUAGAAUUAGGUUCGAAGUUAAUUAAUGAGUUUUCUAGUUCUUAAUGUGAAUUGACUACCUAGUGUGAUUUGUUCUUGUAGAAGCGUGUUUAGAAUUUUUAGAGCUAGUACACGAUCUAAAUGAAGUUGCGAACCUGCAAGAGAGGAUAAGUUGCUGCAGGCCUGGAGAAAGAUUGUAUGUUGGAGUUUAUGCAUAAAUUUGAUAAUGUGCUGUAAAUUUUAUUUUUUACCAUUUUAAUUUUAGAAUGGUCAUGACUUUGACAUUUUUUCCACUGCCUCUUUAUUUAAUAUUUUGUAACUUACCAUGUACUAUAUUAUGUUCGUACGAGUUCGUGACAGGUUGGGUGAACAGGUUUGCACAUGCUGGUGAUUCUGCUGUUGAAAUAGCAGAAAGCACAGCUUAUAUCCUCAUGUUUAUUUUAGGUCUAAUCUUUUAUUGUAUUGUUUCUCAAUUGAAUAGAAAGUUUUAAUUUUUAGUUAAAACAUCUUGUAGGGGCUGGACAAAGAGUUUUUGAUAAAAAAGCUUCCUUCAAUUCAAAUUGCAACAAGGAUGAGAUGCUUGUCAAAGAGUAUGAAUAUCUUGUAGAGAGGGUCAAAGGAGCAACAAAUUCCCGAAGAUACCCCUUUGGAGGAGAUACUUGUAGAUGAUCCUGAUGUUGAAAUUAAUAUCAUGAUGUCCGUUCUAGGUACGAAGCUCGGGCAUCAAAUUCUUGGGUUAGGAGAUGGCCGCCUUCGAGACAUUGGGAUAUCUUCUUCUAACAUAUGCAGUUUGGAGAAGAAGUUGGGAGCAGAAUGUGCUGCUUUUAAAGUAGCCAAUGCGGCUCGAGUAAACAUGGAGCAAAAUAUGCAGAACAAGCCAAAGGUUGUCGAGCAACAAUUCAAUUCUACAUAACAAUCUUGGCAUCAUUCUAUACAACAGUUAUGUAGUAAAGUUCCUAACUUCAUUGUACCACCAUUUAUACCAUUGUCAAUAGAGAAUGAUGGUAAUGAGAAAGAUUAUGCUAUUGAGGAUGAAGAGAAUAACUUUGGUGAGAAUCAGUACAUGUCUAAUUCACGAGAUUGAAGAGUCAUGUCUUUUAUUUGUAUAAAAAUAGAUAUAUAACAUGUUUGCUCUGCUUAUUUUAAUUUUAGAUGUAAUUAUACUUGGUGAAACUCAUUUAUUCGUGUUUUGAUGAAAUAUUUUGGAUUCAAUGUUGAUUGACGUUACGUUUUAA